RNAcentral lists this ribosomal RNA (207 nucleotides) under uncultured bacterium. Its description in RNAcentral is "partial 16S ribosomal RNA". It matches the Rfam family "Bacterial small subunit ribosomal RNA", at positions 568 to 774 of the family's 1533-position model. The record is from RNAcentral.
CUCGUAGGCGGCCAACUAAGUCAGACGUGAAAUCCCUCGGCUUAACCGGGGAACUGCGUCUGAUACUGGAUGGCUUGAAUCCGGGAGAGGGAUGCGGAAUUCCAGGUGUAGCGGUGAAAUGCGUAGAUAUCUGGAGGAACACCGGUGGCGAAGGCGGCAUCCUGGACCGGCAUUGACGCUGAGGAGCGAAAGCCAGGGGAGCAAACG